GACGAACGCUGGCGGCGUGCUUAACACAUGCAAGUCGAACGGAAAGGCCCUGCUUUUGUGGGGUGCUCGAGUGGCGAACGGGUGAGUAACACGUGAGUAACCUGCCCUUGACUUUGGGAUAACUUCAGGAAACUGGGGCUAAUACCGGAUAGGAGCUCCUGCUGCAUGGUGGGGGUUGGAAAGUUUCGGCGGUUGGGGAUGGACUCGCGGCUUAUCAGCUUGUUGGUGGGGUAGUGGCUUACCAAGGCUUUGACGGGUAGCCGGCCUGAGAGGGUGACCGGCCACACUGGGACUGAGAUACGGCCCAGACUCCUACGGGAGGCAGCAGUGGGGAAUAUUGCACAAUGGGCGGAAGCCUGAUGCAGCAACGCCGCGUGCGGGAUGACGGCCUUCGGGUUGUAAACCGCUUUCGCCUGUGACGAAGCGUGAGUGACGGUAAUGGGUAAAGAAGCGCCGGCUAACUACGUG
This 468-nucleotide ribosomal RNA is filed under the name uncultured bacterium. Its description in RNAcentral is "partial 16S ribosomal RNA". It matches the Rfam family "Bacterial small subunit ribosomal RNA", at positions 28 to 507 of the family's 1533-position model. The record is from RNAcentral.